CUUAAAAUAACCCUAUUACAAUUUUUUUUGUGUAGUGCCAGGGAUUGAACCCAGGGCCUUGUGCACACAAGGCAACAGCUCUACCACUGAGCCACAUCCUCAGUCUCCGCAUUGCAAUUUCUGAUUAAAACUGCUUUGAAAUUGUAACUUUCAAUUUCCACUUUUUCUAGAAUUUCUUCUUUUCUGUUUUUAACAACAUCAGUUGAAGCACAUUGAGCUAUCAUGCCUUGUGAAGUUAACCCAUUUAAUCAAAAUCUUUCUAUGAAGUAGGAAUCGCACUACUAUCCCUGUUUUACAGAAGGGGAAACAAACACAGAGGCUGAGUAGCUUACCCAGGUCACACAGGUGGUAAGUGGUGGAGGAGAAGAUUCUGACCCAGGUAGUUGACUCCAGAGGCUGACUUCUUAAACAUCUUAUCUUGUUGUAAUUCAGUAUUCAGAAAUCUAGAACAGCCAGAGAAAUAUGUAUAUAAAAAUACUUUUUCUAGGGUAGAAACUACAAUGGGAUAAAAAGCAAAGCCUCGUGGGUCUCACCCCCUCCCCCUUAGCUUUGAAAAUGACAAAUGUCAAAGGAAAGCAGCAGGCUGCAGUCCUUUGGAAUCUGGUAGAGAUCCUGUCUUUUAGUUGUCAGAGAAUUAAAUAAUAUGUAGGGGAAGGUAUAUCACUGUUGAUGGUUACUUAAGUAGUUUCAUUGUUCAAAAAGGGUUACCUUGGGCCAGGGGUGGUGAAUCGUACCUUUAAUCCCAGCACUCAGGAGGCUGAGGCAGGAGGAUCACCAUAAAUUUGAGGCCAGCCUGAGAUACACAGCGAGACUAUCCCUCUGCAUUGCCUUUCUGGCUUUCUGACAAAUUCUGCAUGAUCUCACUUAUGAUGAAUUUUUAAAAAUUGAUCUCACAGAAGUUGAGGACAGAGAGUGGUAUGCCGAGGUUGGGGCACAGAGGACAGGGUGUGGGGAGGGCUGGUCAGCAGGUGGUAAGUCACAGUUCCAGAGGAGACCUAAGUUCCUGUGUGGUGUCGCACAGCGGGAAGACCACAGAUCAUGAUCACGUACUGGACAUUUCAGGAAAAGUUACAAGAAAGGGUUGGAAAGUUCCCACCACAAAGAAAUGACAAAAAUUUGAGGAGUUAGAUCUAUUUACCGGAUGGAACUAUUCCAUGCUAUAUAUGUGUAUUUAAAAAGAUGGGAUCAAAAUAUAGUGAAUGUUUAAAAAUUUAUUACAAUAACAGAUAGUAGCUCCAUUAACCCCUCUCAAAACACUCCCUCUCAUUUUGAACACAUUUGUCCCCUCAUUUUUACUUUUUGAAGCAUUUAUGCAAAUCCUCUUCUGUGAAUGUCUUUAAAGGAUGUGUCUUUAAAAAAUUAUGGGGAACACUGCUGCCAGUGCAGUCCCACAUGAAGGCAGGCUUAUCAGAACAUGAUACUAUGUCCUCCUCCACCUUAUCCACUGGACCUGGCAGUGACUUCUGACUUUCCCCAAAGUCAAAAGGACCCUAAAAGGUCAAUAUUUUGAAGUAAUUCAGAAGAUUGAGGAUGCCAUGACAAGGUAGCUAAAGAUACGCACUAUCGAAGUAGCUAAAGACAACUUCCAGCCCUGCUUCAGAAAAUGGCAAAGACAGUGAGGUAAGUGAGGGGAAGUAGCCAGGCACACUCCUGUAAUCCCAGCACUCGGGAGGCUGAGGCAGGAGGAUCACUAUAAAUUCAAGGCCAGCCUGGGCUACAAAGAGAGCUCAAGGCAAGCUUGAACUAUAUAGUGAGACCCUGUCUCAAAAAAAAAAGAGGGGAUGUAUUUAAGAAGAAUGAAUGCCAAUAUGUCUUUUAUGGUAAUAAUUUUUUAAACUUUAUUUUUGAUCUUUUAAAUAUAGAUUCAAAGCAUCACAACACCUUGUACAUAUAGUUUUUAUGUCAAUUAAAUUUGCAAACAAUGUUCAAUCUAUCAAGCACCUCACACCCAUUAAGAUGGCUAAGUCUAGAGAAGAAACAGAAAACAGGUGUUUGCAAAGGCAGGAAGAGAGUGGAAUCCUUCUGCAUUAUUCGUAGGCUUUUAAAGUGGUUUCUCAAAAACUUAAAAAUAGAACUGUUAUGUGAUUCAGGAAUCCCACUUCUGCAUCUGCAUCCAAAAACCUGAAAGCAGAGUUUUAAGGUGCAUUGGCACACUCAUCUUCAUCGCUAUGCAAGGUGGAGACAAGCCAACUGUCCCCUGACGCGUGUGGGUAAACGAGCGUGCUGUAUAAACACAUGGGCUGUUAUUCUGCCCGUUAAGAGAAAGAAAAUGUGACUCAUGCUAUAACGGGGAUGAACCCUGAAGACGCACUGAGUGAAAUAAACCAGACACAAAAGACAAAUCUUACAUGAUUCCACUUGUAGGGGUAGCUAAUGUAGCCAAAGUCAUGGAAACAAAGUAAAAUGGUGAUUAUUAGCUGGAGGUAGGUGCUGCAGGGGUGUAGAGUUUUGAUUUGGAAAAAAAUAAGUUUCUGGGGCUGUAUUGUGACACAGUGUGAAAAAUGUGUAACACUACUGAACUGUACGCUUUGUGUUGUGUAACUUUUACCGCGAUUUACAGUGGACAAGAAAAGUACAUAGAGGCCAUUUGUGGACUGGGGGCAGAGAGAACAAGGCCACACCAGGAAGCAAACCCAGUCUGGGAACCAGCGCCACACACGGCCACUGACAGACUGGGAACAGACAGACCCCAGUGCUUUCCAAUCGCCUGCUGGCAAACAAGAAGUACUAAUCCCCGCCCCACUCCUGCCCUGGAAGCAAUUUUGAAAUGUUUAAAAGUCCUGUAUCUCUUACACCGAUGUGCUUUGAUUGGUUUUAUUCUGUUUUACCUUCUUUAAAAUAAAAUUUUAAAAAGUACAUGGAGAGUUGAAAUAGGAAUCUAAAUGUGUAUUGUAGAUAGUAGGUAGAUGACAGAGACAGGGAGAAGGGAAGUACUACGUCCAUAGUCAGGACAGCAGUUCUCCUGGGGCAAGAAAGAAAGGCAAAUGUUCUCUUCCCUCCCAGCAGUUAUUGCAGAGGAUGCUUGCGGAGGGACCGAAGUGUGAGCUGAAAGAAAUCGCCAUUUCCUGUCCCUACCCAGGCAGGAGGAAAUCAGUACCAACUUGGGGCACCUGCAUCGCCAGCCUUCACCCUCUUUUCCAUGAGUCUCAGCUCCACUUGGUCAAGGGCACUCUGACCCACAUCGCCAUCUUCUCCAGGAAAAAUGAAAACCUGUCCACAAAAAGACUUGCACAAAAGUGUUCAUCACAACUAUAUUUAUAAAUCUAAAAACGGGGGGACCAGGAAAACAAGUGUCCAUCCUGGGGAGACUGGAGAAACAAACUACAGUGAAUUCAUACACAAAGGACUUGCUGCUCAACAAUGAACAGGAACGAACUACUCUGCACCAUGCAAAGCAACAGCAUGGGUGACUCUCAAGGACAUUUUACUGAGUGAAAGGAACUUCGUACAUGAAUAGGACACACCUUUUUUCCCCAUUUGUAUAGUUUUAUAGUGGCCAAUGAAAUACAUGGAAAAAAACAGACUGGAGAUUGUAUCUGAAGGACCAUUGUGGGGAUUCAUUAAUAGAAUAUCCGAGAGAAUGUUCUGGAACAAUGGUAACCUGCCUUAUCUUGCUAGAGGUUUGUGUUAUACAGAUGAAUUUGUCAAAAUUUAGUAAAUAUUCAUUUAAGAUUCAUGCCUUUCAUGUAAACAUGUAAACAUCUUACAAGAUGUGCCUUUCAUGCCUUUCAUGUAAACAUCUUACAAGAAGUGAAACUAAAUGAGCUUUGAACUGCACAGUUUAUGACUUAUAACCCAUGAGUAUUCAGGGGAAAAAGAUGGCCACGUGAGUACCCUGAAGUAGUGAAGUAGAGAUGGCAUAGAUCUGGAAGCACAUUAACAAACAAUGUUGACAAAGGAAAUGAAAUAAAAAUGUAAGAGUAGA
Cavia porcellus (domestic guinea pig) is the source of this 3925-nucleotide long non-coding RNA. RefSeq lists it as uncharacterized. The record is from RefSeq and is a predicted model, not a curated record. Lineage: Eukaryota; Metazoa; Chordata; Mammalia; Rodentia; Caviidae. The transcript has 2 exons.